CACACCACACCUAGUGUGUGCGUGUGUGAGGUCGACCAGGAGAAAGCUCAGGGAGCUCAAACCCUAACUUCCACAACUUGAUCAAAUUGAAGCCCAAAUCAAGAGCCAAAUCACUGCAUGAACACAAAUUCGUGAUCACCUAAUCAUGGGGAUUACAAGUUUGACGCGUCACAAGCUAGGUGGAAGCUUGGAGUGAAAGCGGGUCAAACAAGGCAAGCAUGGAAGAAAGGCGUAGCUCGGAUGCAAGGUACUUGUGGAAGCCGGAAGACGAUCAAGCUCAACGAAGAAC
Long non-coding RNA from Helianthus annuus (common sunflower), 289 nucleotides. RefSeq lists it as uncharacterized. The transcript is spliced from 3 exons. NCBI's taxonomy places the organism in Eukaryota, Viridiplantae, Streptophyta, Magnoliopsida, Asterales, Asteraceae. The record is from RefSeq and is a predicted model, not a curated record.